CGUAAUUUGGUUGGGUCUUGGCUUGUUUCAUGUUGCCGAUAAACGAGAGGCUUUUUGUUUUUUUUUUAAAGAGUACGGGUCCUGCUGCAGUUAGUUCAUUGGAAAAUUCAGUUGCUUCUCAGAGUGAUCAAGGAGAGUCUGCUUUUGUCUUUUUUCUGUUAACAAUCAAUCUGUCCAAUAGAGUUGCAAUAAUGCCAAAAAGAAAGACUGCAGAUCAAGGUGACAUGAGGCAGGAGGUGAUUGUCUUUACUUUCAGCAUCUCUCCAGGAGCCAAAGAGAAGAUCAGCUAGACUGUCUGCUAAUUCUGCUGUGAAUCCAUCAGGACCUGGUCUUUUCUUUGUUGAAUGUUGUCCCAUGUGUAGCUGAGAAGAAUAUGUAUUCUGAUGUGGUUGGGUGGAACACUCUAUAAACAUCUACUAACUCCAGUUGCUCACAGGUUUGAAGUUCACAUUGAAGUCUGCAAAAAGAAUAGUUACCCUUGUUUUUUUUCUGGGUUCCUGUUGUGUGGAAUACUGUUCUCCAUCCUUUGACUUUUAAUUUAUGAGUUUCCUUUUGGGUCAGAUGUGUUCUUGUAUACAGCAUAUUGUGAGAUCCUGUUUCUUGAUUCAUUCUGUCAACCUAUUUAUUUUGACAGGUGAAUUGAGGCCAUUUACAUUUAUGGAUAUCACUGAUAUGUACUGGCUCGACUUUGCCAUGUGUUGUAGUUAGGGGUUGUACACAGAGAACAGUUAGGAUCAAGACAUGGAGUUUAUAAUAUUAUUUUUAUAAUGAUCAUCAGGAGUUAACACAGGAAAAUGCAGGAAAUCUAUCUGCAACACCAAAGACAUAGAGUUUUUAGUCAAGAGCCUAAACCCCACAGCAGUGUCCCACAUGAAUCCAGAUAAAAACCCAGAGGUCAGGACAAUGCCUCCUAUGAGUCCAACUGGAAGUCCAGAGCCCACAAGAAGGACUCACAUCAGUCUUUUCUAUGGAUCCGUGCUAGGAAGACCCAAGGGUCAGCAGUGGAAGCCAGAAAGUCUAUGCCAGCAGGAUGAAGAAGCUGUGCUGAUGGGAUGAGGGUUCUAUGUUGGAACCAAGAAGUCACACUCACAACAAAGGCCAGGGCUAUCUUGAAAGGCACCACAGCCAUCCUCAGUGGCACAGGGGCCCUGAGCUCCUCUGACGACAAGCACAGUUGGGUACAUGCCAGGAAGCAGGAGUUCAUCCUGGAGACCAAGAGGCACACAUGUUCCCCUCCAGAGCCAGGAAGCAAUUCUCGAUGUGAAGACCAGAGCUCCUCCAGGAGAACGAACAGCUCAAACAGCAACUCGUAGGAGAAUCCACAACAACACAUUAACGCCUCAAUACCUCAACACCUCCCUUCUUCUCUACAUAUUUAUCCUGGCAACUUUCCUUAGGUGGAGCAUCUUCACUCAAUGCCAUGCUGAUGUAAUCCAGCUGGUGUUAAAUUGAUUACCAGUUCUUAAUCCAUAACACCAUGUUAUAUUCCAGUUGUUUGCUUUCUGAUUUUUCUCCUUGCUUAAUUGCUUGUCCUACCUGGUGGUUUCUUCUUCUUGUUUUUCUGGGGAUUGUGGUCAUUUUUAUCUCUAUCUAAUAUGUCUUUCAAUACUCUUUCUAGGGUUGGUUUGGUGGACAUGAAUUUCUUCAGUUGUUCUGCAUUGUGGAAGCAUCUUUUUUCUCCAUUAAGUUUGAAUGCAAGUUUUUCUGGGUAUAUCAGUCUGGGUUGAAAUUUCUUUUCUUUGAGAAUUUGAAAUACCUCACUCCAAGCUUGUCUUGAAUUGAGGGUUUGUGUUGAAAUGGCUGCCGCAAUUUUGAUGGAAUUUCCUUGAAAGCUGUGUUUUUUCUCUAACAGCUUUUAGUAUUCUGUUUUCAUGCUGCAUAUCUGGGAUCUUAAUUAUUAUAUUUCUAGAUGUAGAUUUAUGUUGUGAUUGUUUGGUGUUCUAUAUGCCUCACCUGCAUAUCAGAUUUUUCCUCAUGUCUGUGAAAUUUUCUGCUAUUACUUCUGUGAAUAUAUUAGUUGUGUCAUUUGCAUUUGCUCCUGCAUCUUCACUGAUGCCUAUUAGUCUUAUAUUGUUUCUCUUAGCAUUAUCUUGAAGCUGCUGGAUUGUCAUUUCAUGCUCCUUUGUUGUUUUUAUAAGUUUUGUCCUUUCAUGAUCACUAAUUUUGAUUCUGUGCUCAAAGUCUGAAAUUCUAUCCUCAGCUCCAUUUAAGUGCUUGUUCUAGCUUUCAAUAGAAUUUUUUUGUUUCUUGGUCUCUCUUUGAGUUUGUUUUAUGAAUUCUGCUUGUUUUCUAUAUUGUUCAUUCAAAGUUUCAGUUUCCCAUGAUCCUGUACUUUUUAUCUAUUUGUUCUCUACCUAUUCUGAGCAACUUGUUUACCAAGUUUGUUUUUUCUGAUUUACAUGAGAGAUUAAUUUUGAUUUGAUUUUCUCUGUAGCCUCAUGGAGUUGUUUUUUAUUUCACUUGCUAUCUUUUCAUAGAUUUCUGGUGUGUUAUUUUUGAAAUCCUCUAUUUCAAUAUCUCCUGUACUUGCUCCUGUGGACUAGAUGUUUGAGAUUGCAUUUUGCUUUUUUGUUUUACUGUUUUCUUCUUUUUGGUUAGUAUUUUAUCCUUCAAUCCCACUAGUGUCAACUGUUGGUAGUGUGUAUCUUGGGGUCCUACUGUAAGGUUGGUGUUUGUCCAAUUGCUGGCUCCCACAAUGAAGAGGUGGAUCAGUCAACCUGAAUUCCCCCUGAAGGGCCCGUUGUUGAAUCCUAUGGUCUUCCUAGGCUUACAAGUCUAGGAGUACUGAUGAAAAUCAAUCCCUAGUUCCUGCUUUUAUUAUGUCUUCAGGUUGUUCAGAGUCACCAGAUCUCCCUGUUUGUAGUGUUGUCUCGUCUGGGACUCUACUGUGUCUCUGGGUGUCCCACAGGCCCCCUUGAUUUUCUCCACGUUUGGGAAGGCCUAUUUGGCCCCCUCAUCAACCUACCUGAUAUUCUCUGUGUGGAGGAAAGACUCACCCACUCACUUGCCAAGCUUGCUUAUGGCCUAUUUCUGGAGUGGGCUUCUCUGUUGCUCCUGUUUACCCACUGAAGGUGGCAAACUCUAUUUCUAUUUUAGGGGCAAAAUCACCUCAGUGGUGGAAACCUGCUGAGUUCUUCUUACUGAGUCUCCCCUCGAUACUUCAUGGUUAACCCUCUGUAGUCCAAGGUUCUGGAGGGAGGUAUGGGAGCUGAAGAUCAACAGCAUUGCUAGAUUCAGGAUGUGGGCUGGUACCUGAUCGCAGUGGUGGUACUAUGGAGGCACACACCAUGGGUUGGGCCCCACAAGGGUCUCAGUUCUGGCCUCAUCCCAUGCACACCUCUGGUUGGAGUUCCUGGGUCCUGUGAGGUGGUCUUCUGAAACUGCAGGAGUCACAGGAGAAACCUGGUCUAGACUUGUGAUAAUAGACAGUAGUAAUCCUUGUGGGUUUAGUGUUAGCUAUAUUUUUGUGUGGCUACUAGUAUCAAGCCCUCUCAUGGAAAAGUUUUUUCUUCAGGUAUUUCUUCUGUGAGUAGGAGAUUCUUGGUUUGUGUCUUUUACAAGAUCUUACCUUCCCAGUUAUUUAAGAGUGUGAUGUUGUUAUCUGUUUGGCUCAGUUCUUGGUGCAUUUGUAUAGGGCAAUGUUGAAGUUAUUGCUUCAGAGCUACCCAGUAUUUUUAUGGAAGGGAAAAAAUUGAUUACAACAGAUAUGAUAUACUAGAUAAGUAGCAAAAUUAGCUGUAACAAUAGCACCAAACACAAUUUAGAAACUGACAAAUUGUAGUAACUGUUGGUUUUGUACCUUUUUGAAUUGAUAUCUCAUAAUUUAGUGCCAUUUGGCCUGGACUCACUGUGUAGUCCAGGCUGGCCUUGAUUCUGAAGCAAUCCUCUUGUCGUAGCCUCCUGAGUUCCAGGAUUACAGUAGUGUGACGCAAUACGCAACUGAUCUUAUGCAUUGUAGAUUAUUGUAUCAGUGUCUGUAGUUGCAUAAGAGAACCAAUUGUGAAUUAGGGGUUUGUAUGCAAAGUAUUUCCUCUUGGCAGAGUAACCACUCUGUAACCUGGACAUUUAGGGAGAAUAGUGUAUAAAGCAAAGAUAGUAAGGAAGUAGAAGAAGGCUGUUGAACAAAGGAUGAUCAUGCAAGAUUUGUGAAACCAGAAAAAAGGGUAUAAAAGAAUGGAGAAUUAUUUGAGGGAUUAUCUGAACAUAGUCUCUGUGUUUGGGAGAUAGCAUUUUCUGUUGUUGGUGUUCUCCCCAGCCAUUUAAAAAAGAGACAAAAAGAGCAAAAGAAAAAAAAUGAAAGAAAGGAGAAAAAUCAGAUAAAAAUGCCAGUUGUCUCUUCCUGGAUUCAUUCUGAGCUGCUGGCCAGUCCCUUGGAGGCCUCAGUCACCUAUUGACUCAUAUUGUUGUUGUUACUUUGGACUUUUCACACCACUGAUUUCACAAGCCCAUCUUGUGCACCUUUGUUGGGAUACUACUGAGUUGGUAGCAUUCCUUCUGGUCUCUGAUCAUUCUGAAGGAGUUUACCUCAAUAGUGACAGUAGUGAGAGGAGGGGCUGCCUUCCUUUGGCAUGGCUCACCUGGGUUUCUGCACUAGUGGAGAGACAAUGAAAGGGGUCUUUCUCCUACACGCAGCUCAUUACUUCUUUAAAAACUGUUUUAAUUAUUAGAAUUAUUUUAUGUUUCAUAUAUAGUUUAGACUAAGCUUUCAGUGAAAAUGUUUUCUGAAAUUUUUACAUGCAUUGUAUUAAACCUACAGAUAAGUUUGUGAAGAACAUUUUUAAUGUGUUGAGUUUUUGAUACAAGAAUAUAAAUAAUCUCUCCAUUUAUCUUUUAUUAAAACAUGAUUUAUUAUUGUUUAUUAUGGAUAUUAUUCUUUGCAUUAGAUUAUUAAAAUCUUUUACUAAUAAUAAAAAAUUGUAAUUUUGGUCCAUUGAGCAUUUUUUAUCAUUUUCUUGCUUUUUGGUCUUCCUUAUAUAUUUUAGAUUUUACUACCUUAAUAGUUGUAUACUUUGCAAAUAUUUUCUUUAAAAUUUUGGGUUGGCUCCUCAGUCUACUGAGUACUUUGCUAGAAAGAACUAUUUUCAUAUGAUGCAAUCCCAUUCAAUUAUUUAAGCUUUUGUUGCUUAUACUUUUAGAAUUAUAUCCAAGCCACCUUUCCUCAAACCAAUGUUUUUGAACAUUUUAUUGUUUUCUUCCACUAGUUUUACAAUUUCAAGGGUUACAGUUUAGUGUUCAGUUCAUUUUGUGUUGAUUUCAUAAAAUAUAUACCAGCUCGAAUGACAUAAUGCAGUAUGCAGACACUGAAACAAAGAGGACUGGAGACCAGUUUUCUUCCCACAAGAAACAAGAAAAUGAUCUGAAGAUGGCUGGAAAGAUAAAGCAAGUAUAGAGAUUUGCAUUAUGCAACAUUAUCACAAAACUGUAAAUAUCAACAUUAUCACAAAACUGUAAAUUUCAGAGGUGAUUUUACUACUUUUAUUCUCCCUUGUUUGUCUGAUUGCUAUCCCUUUCCUGUCUGGUUAGAUAUCAUCUGGUUCUGUUUUGAAUUUUAUGUUUAUUUUUAUAUUUGGGCUUUUUUUCCUUUCUCCUCUCUUUGCCUGGUGUCCUCAUUUUUCUUUCUUUUCUUCUUUUUUCAUUCUCUUCAUUUUCCCUUCCUUUCUUCUAUUCAAUAUUUAGGUUUUUUACAUUUCUUUUUCAUCUUCUAUUGCUGUUUUUACUCUUUCCUCAAGUACUACUUGAAUUUAAGCUUUCAAGGGGGUAAAUAUUGUCUCUGCCCUUUCUGAUUACUCCUUCACAUUCUAUAUCAUUAUUUCCCUCCUGUAUCCCCCACUUUCCCAAAACUUGGGCAGUCAUCCAUUGAUCUCCAGUCUUGAUACAAUAUUUGACCUCAUUCAUCAUUUUAUCCUGUUCUCUAUCUCUUGCAACCUUCCUGCACCCAAAGAAGAGUAAAAAUCACUCCACUGAGAGGAAAAGUCACUGCAUACAAGUGCAUAGCAUAUGUUUGAUUUUGUUAUCUAACUUUAGAAUUUUCUCAUAUCGUCAGAGAUAGCAAGUUAAUCUUUACCAUAGUUUGCCAGUAGUUAAGCUGUACUUGAAACUAUUGUUAUUACUAAUUGUACUAUAUUAGCCAGGAGGUUGUACAUGUUAUAAUCAGUUUUUCUAGACUGUAUGAUAACACAGUGACAAUACAGGGUCAUAAUCAUCACCAGAGCCCAGUAUGAAAGGAUUGGGCACUGAGACAAAUUGGGAAGGUAGGUUCUUGGGCUAUCUAUAUAGAACCACCUACAACCAGGGGACAUCCCUGAAGAACAGACAUCUCUGAGGGAAGCCUCAAUACUAGUGGUAAAGCUAUUUAUCAUAAGAAAUUGGCAAGCAUCAACAUAGAAAACAAAAUAAAAUUUAAAAAUAUAAAAAUAGAAAAUGAUAAGACACAAAAAGGAAAAUGCAACUCCAGACCAUCUGCCCACCCAAGACAAGCCCAGGACUCAAUGAGAUAGAUGAAAUUGAAAGCCAAACACUAGAUCUUUGUGAAAUGAUAGCAACAAAAGUUAAAAAAAAACUAGUGGAAAAGACUAUAGAGAAAAUAAUCCCUCAGAUACAAAAAGAAAUGAUGUUUAUAUCAAUGAUAUUACAGAAAAUACAGAUAAAAAAUAGAUGAGCUUAGAAAAAUGAUGUAAACAAAGAAUGCUCAAAAUAGGAAAGAAAUGGAAUCUGUGAAACAGAUGAAACAGAAAUUUAAGAGAUUAAAACCUCCACUGAAUAUAUAUUCAACAAUAUAUAUUCAUUGAAUCAAGGAGAGGAUAGAAUUUUGAAUCUUCAAGAAAAAGUUGCAGAUAGUGAUCAUGAAAAGAAAGAUGUGUUAAAAACAGCAAGAAACCUUGAAAAAUCCACCAGCUUCAAGAUGAAGCAAUAAAGAAUACCCUAAGUUUGAUUAGAGUCAAUGAGAAAGCUAGACAGCACAAAAGCCAUAAAAAAGCUUUUCACAGAAAUAAUUGCAGAAAACUUCUCAAGUAUAGAUAAACAACUAGACAUAUAAAUAGAUGAAACAUAGAGAACAGCCAUGGACAAAAUAAAACUAUACCAAAAUAUAUAAUAAUCAAGAUACCUGAAAUUCAGCACAAGAACAGAAUAUUUAAAGCUGUUAGAGGAAAGAAAUCACCUCUAAAAUAAAGCCCAUCUGAAUCAUGACAAACUUCUCAGCAUACACCCUCAAAUCAAGAAGAGCAUGGAGUGAAAUAUUUCAAGUCCUGAAAUAGAACAGCUUCCAUUCCAAAGCUAUCUUUCAAAAUUAAUGGAGAAAUAAGGUAUUUCCAAAGGAAAGAAAAAAGGAAGAAAUUCAUUACCACUGAAUCAACCAUACAAAAGUACUGAAAGAUAAUCUAGAUAGAUAUAAAAAUGAUCACAAUUCCAAGAACAAAAGCAGAAAGAAACCACCUGGCAGGGCAAGCAAUUAGUCUCAGGAGAAAUGUAGGGAAACAACAGCAGAAAAAUACCAUGACAAAGAUAAAACCAAUCCAUAUCAAUUACUGCCACCAAUGUAAAUGACCUUGAUUCACCAAUCAAAAGAAACAGAAUGGCAGAAUGGAUCAUAAAACAAGAUCCAACAAUAUGCUGUAUAUGCAAAACAUAUUUAAUUCAAAAAGAAAUUCAUUGACAGAAAGUCAAAGGAUUAAAACAAUGUGACAUAAAACAGGAAACUUGAAAAAGGCAGGGGUACCUAUUCUUUUUGCAGACAAUGUGAAUUUCAAACCAGGAAUGAUCAAAAGUGAUAAAGAAGAUCACUACAUAUUAGUUAGAGGGAAAUAUCAAGAAAAAGUAAUAAUCAUAAAUAUGUAUGAGCCAAAUAUAAGACUAUACAAUAUAUAAGACAAUUAUUAAUAGAUAUGAAAAAUCAAAUAAGCGAUGACACAAUUUCUAUAGGAGAUCUUAAUACCAAAUUGUCACAAAAAGACAGAGCAACUAGACAAAAAAUCAGUAAAAAUUAUCAGAACUGAACCAAACUUAAGAACAAAUGGACUUAGUAGAUGUUUUCACAGUGUUCCACCCAGCAUCAUCAGAAUACACAUUCUUCUCAGCUACACAUGGGUCAUUAUCUAAAACAGACCAUAUACUAGACUACAGAACAUUCUUCAGUAAAUGCAAAGGAACUGAAAUUAUCCAGUGAAUAUUAUCUGACCAUAGUGCAAUUCAACUGGAAAUUAAUUGCAAAAGAAACUGCAAAACUCCAUAAACAUGGAAAUUAAAUAUGACCUUCCAGAAAAAGUAUUACACAUGAAAUUAAGGAAGUUAUUAAACUAUAUCUACAAGAAAACAAAAAUGCAAAUGCAACUUACCAGAACCUGUGGGAUUCAAUGGAAGUUGUCCUAAGAGGUAAAUUUAUAAUGGGAAAUUCUCACAUCGGUAAAACAGAAUAAGCACAAAUAAACAUCCUAAUGUUGUACCUCAAAUAUCUAGAAAAAGAAGAGCAAGCUGAGCCAGAAUUUCAUAUAAAGAAAGACAUUAUAAGGAACAGAGCAAAAAUUAAUACAAAAGAGGCUAAGAAAGCAGGACAAAGAAUGAAUGAAUUGAACAAUUUCUUUUAAAGUAUAUAUAAAAUUGAAAACAGCCAACAUUAUCAAAAAAAAAGGAAAGAAAAGUCUCAAAUUCUUGCAUUGAUGAAUUAAAAGGGUGAAAUCACUACAGAUCCUGUAAAGAUUCAGAGGAUCAUCAAGACCUACUUUGGAAAUCUUAGCUCCUAUAAAACAAAACAGAAAAAAAUGGGCAAAUUCCUAAAUAUGUAUGAAAUCACUAAAGUUGAUUCAAGAAGAUAUAAAAAUUGUGAAUGACAAUAUCAGUUGAUGAGUUUGAAAAUGUAACCAAAACCUUACUGAAAAAUAAAAGCCCAGGUCCUGAUGGAUGCACUCCUGAAUUCUACAAGAAUAUUCCUCUCAAGUUCUUUAAUGAAAUUGAAAGGUAAGCAAUAGCCCCUAACUUAUUCCUGUACGCAAGUAUUACCAAAACCAGAGAAAGCCCCAAACAAUAAAAGAAAAAUACGGUUCAAUCUUCCUAAUGAACACAGAAGUAAAAAUUUUCAAUAAGAUACUGUCAAACAGAAUGCAGAAAAUCAUUAAAAGAUUAUACUCCAUGACCAAGUAGAAUUCAUUCCAGGAACGCAGAGAUGUUUCAGCAAUGUAAAUCAAUGUAAUACAAUUAUCAAAACAAGUAAAAACAAAAAUCACUUUAUCACUUCAAUAAAUGCAGAAAAAAAGCUUUUGAUAAAAUCCAUUACUCAUUCAUGAUAAAAAAAAACUCUACUAAAAAUUGGAAUAGAUGAUCUUUACAUCAAAGACAAACCAACAACCAGCACCGUAUUAAAUGGGCAGAGACUGAGAGCUUUCACUCUAAAAUCAGAAAUAAGACAAGAAUGUCCACUAUUACCAUUCCUUUUCAAUAUAGUUCUGGAAAUAUUAACCACAGCAAUUUUACAAGAGUAAGAAAUAAAAAGAAAGAAUAGGACAGGAAGAUGUUAAAUUAUCAUUAUCCACAGGUGAUGUGAUACUAUAAUUAGAAGACUUGAAAAACUCCACCAAAAGACAUCUACAGUUAAUAAUCAAGCUCAGUAGCAUAGCUAUAUACCAAGUCAACACUCAAAAAUUGAUAGCAUUCCUAUACAGAAACAACAAUCUCAUUGAAAGAGAUAAUAGAGAAAUCACACCCUUCACAAUAGUUUCUCAAAAAAUGAAAUAUUUAGGAAUCAAUCUAACAAAGGAAAUAAAAGAUCUUUACAUUAAAAAUUACAGUACUCUGUAAAAGGAGAUUGAAAAGGAUAUUAGAAAAUUGAAAUAUAUCCCUUGCUCAUGGAUAAGAAGAAUCAACAUAGUGAAAAUUGCCCUACUCCCAAAAUUGUUAUACAGAUUCAGUGCAAUCCCAACCCAAACACCAUUAGCUUAUCUCAUAGAGCAAGAGAAAAUAAUCAUAAAAUCCAUUUGAAGCCAGAAUAGACCUGGAAUAGCAAAAGUAAUUCUGGAUAACAAACCAAGGCAAGUGGUAUCAUAAUCCUUGAUUUGAAAUGCUACUACAAUGCUGCCAUGAAAAAAGCAGCAUGAUAAUGACAAGAAAACAGACACAAGGGUCAGAAAAAUGUACUAAAGAUGUAGAAAAUCUUCAAAUACACGCAUCCACUUUAUCUUUGACAAAAGGUCCAAACAUAUUCCCUGGAAGAAUGAUAGCCUCAUUAAUAAAUGGUGCUAGAAAAACUGACUCUCUGCAUCCUAUCAGCAUGCACUAAACUAAAGUCAAAAUGGAUCAAAGAUCUAAAUAUUAAAACAGAAAUACUAAAUCUAUUGGAAAAGAAAUAGGUAAAAAUUUGGAAGACAUAGGUGUAGGAAGUUUUCAUGAACAAAACUCAAGCUGCAUGGGAAAUACUUCAAAGAAUCAACAACCAGGAUCUCAUAUUUUUAAAAAACCAUUGCACAUCAAAAGAAAUCACCAAGCUGGGAAUUUAGCUCAGUGACACGCAUGCCUGCCUGAGACAUAUGAGGUCAUGAGUUCGAGACCCAGUACCAAAAAAAAAAGAAAAGAAAAGAAAAGAAAUUACCAACUGUCAGAAGAGACAACUCACAGUGGAAACAAUUUUAGCCAACUAUCACUCAAACAAUGAAUUUUUACCUAAAUCAUAUAAAGAAUAAAAAAAUCAAAUCCUCCAAAUUCAAAGACCUAAUCCAAAAAUAAGCAUCUGAGAUGAACAAAACUAUCUCAACUGAAGAAAUAUACAUAAUAUACAAAUAAAUAUACAAGAAUAUACAUAAAAUGUUCAACAUCAUUGAUCAUUUGAAAGAUGCAAAUUAAAAUGCCACUGAGGUUCCAUCUCACCCUAGAAAAAAUGGCUACCAUCCAGAACUCAACCAACAACAAAUGUCAGCAGGAUUUUGAAGAAAAAGAAACCCUUCUCCACUGUUAGGAGGUUAGACUUGUGUAACCACCAUGGAAACCAGCGUGGUGAUUCUUCAGAAAACCACGGUUACAGGUCCCAUUUGACUCAGCUAUCCCCCUCCUGGAUACUUCCCCAGAAGAAUGAAAAACAUCAUACCACAAUGACAUAUAUGGAGCCAUAUUUGUAGCAGCACUGUUUUGUUUUUUUGGUUUUUUUUUUUUUUUUUUUUUUGGUUUUUUUGUCUUUUUCCUUUUUAUCGGUACCAGGGAUUGAACUCACGACUGCCUGCUUGCAAGGCAGGCGAUUAUGCUGCUGAGCUAAAUCCCUAGCAAUGUUUGUAAUAGCUAGAUCUUGGAAACAACACAAAUUCCCAUCAACCGAGGAACUGAUAAAAAGGAUGCGAUAUUUUCAUACAACUGGGUACUACUCAAAGAUAAAGAUAAACUUGGGACUUUUAUAGGUAAAUGGGUGCAAUUUGAAACCUACUCAUAAGUGAAAUAAAUCAGACUCAGGUGUAUAAACAUCAUAUUGGCUUCCUAGUGUAAGAAGCUAAAACAAUAAUAAGAUUCAAAAAGAAAAAGAAACUGGGAUAGGAGAACAAGAAAAGUAAGGGAAAUUGCAAAAUAAAUAAAUAAAUCUAUAGAUAGACACAAGAUAGUCAUACUGUUAAUUUCAUUUAAUUCAUUGAAAAUAAAUAUUUGUGCCUGUAUUACUUGAUCAAUUUUUUAUUCCUUAUUCUUAUAAUAUGAGCCACUAUUUUGAAGAUAACAUUAUGCAAUGUAUUAACAUUGUUACUCUCUUAGUAUCUUGUUUCCAAAUAUUAUAACACAAUUUUCAUUGUUUUUUCUUUCAUAUAAAAAAGGAAAAACUUCCAAGCAUUCAUUUUUGUUUCAAGAAUGUAUUUGUUUUAUUUUGUUUUUUUAUGCUUACCUUUGAUUUUAUUUUUUUUUCUCUUUGCCUCUGUUUUCUUACUACCACUUUUAUUCUAGGACAGAAAGUGUUUCAGAACUAUCUAAAAUUACAUAAGCCAAUUGGGGCUUCAAGUUAUUCUGAGACUUCUUCAUUAUUCAAUAUAGAAUACAAGGUUCUUGAAAUAUUUGUGAACAAAAAAAUUCAUAAACAGUUUUUAAAAGGAUAGACAGACAUGGCGUGUUUGAGGGGUUUUGUUGUAAAUUACAUUGGAAUAAAAGUGCUUGUGCUAUUUUGCAGCUUAUGCAAAUUUUUGUUACCUGUAACUUAGAAAAGGGUGUUUUUAUUGUGAUAUAAUGUGGCCUGAAUGACUAAAUCCUCACUCAGUUUUAUGAAACUGUCCUUAAAUGGAUUAUUUGGAAUAAAUUUGACCAGGAUAAUAGUUUCUUUCCUGUCCCUUUUCUAGAUUAGUGACUAGUACAAGGAUGUGCUUUGUGUAUCCAGUAACUAUUAAACUAUUUGCCUAA
Molecule: long non-coding RNA, 12348 nt
Organism: Cavia porcellus (domestic guinea pig)
Lineage: Eukaryota; Metazoa; Chordata; Mammalia; Rodentia; Caviidae
Exons: 6
Source: RefSeq, a predicted model, not a curated record